CUUAUCAGGCUAUUUACAAUGUAAGCUAUAGGGCCCGUACCUCAGCCUCAAAACUUGAUAAAAACACUUAUCUCGCAGUGCAAGCACCUAUAGUUAGGAUACUAAGCCCACAGCCGGUGGACCCCCACGAAAAGGCAUUGAGACAUCGAGUACUACUCCAUUGCCUCCACUUUCCCGAAAAGCCCUCGCCUCCUCUCCUCGAGUUCUACUCGCGCUGCUUCGCCUCCUCCCACUCGGCCGCACACGCCGUCGCGCCUCCUUCCCUCGCCGCCCGGCGUGGUCGCCGCCCUCAACGCUACCGCCAGCGGCAGCGACUUGAGUUGAUUUGGGGUGGUUUGGAGGCGGAGGAGGAGGCGGCGGCCACGGAGGAGGCGACUCCCUGAAGCAGCCGUGGAGGUCGGCGACGAGGAGGAGGUCGUCGAGCAGCUGCUCCAUCCACGGCCGGCGGCGUGGAGCGGAGGAAUCGGUGGCGGGAGUUCUGUCCCCCCACCUCCUUCCCCUCCCUCUCUGUCCCUCACCUCCGGCGGCCGUGGCGGACUUGACGAGGAGGCCGUGGUCCUCUUCGCCGAUGCAUCCCGGGCUUGGAGGUGGCGGCCGACGGCGUGGUCCUCGUCGCCGAUGCAGCCCACCCCUGUGCUCGUCGUCUCCGCGGGCGCACGAGCACGCGCGGGGCUCUAACCUGUGCGGAACGAGGCGGGCGGCGGCGGACAGCAGGCUGCUGUGCGUGGGGAGUAGUGCCUCGGCGUCCUUCGCGGCGACGUUGUGGCCGAGACGGAGGUGGGGGUGGAGAAGAGCCGCGGCUGGGGGCGACGUCGACGCCGCCGGUACAGGCGACGCGGCAGGACGUGCAGGCCGCCAUCGCCAUGGCGGUCGAGCUGCGGGCGCUCCACGCCGCGGUGGUGGCGGCGGCGCCGGCGCCAGCCGCAGCCCGGCCUCCCGCCGGCCGCGUCCCCCGCGCUCUCCAGGACGGCAGCGGCAGCGGUGGCCACCGUUGGCGAGGACUACCCGGUGUUUACUCCGAUGGCAAUGACGACCACCGUCAGAGUCACCUGCGGAGGUGACGACGCGGAUGACGCGACGAAGACGGCGACGUCGGCGGCGGGGUUCCUCCCGGCGAGGUCCAUUGAAGAAGAAGAGAGGAUCAAGAAAGGGGACGGAAGAGAGAAGGCGAAGCUAUCGCUAUUCCGAUUUUCGAGGGCGAAUCCGGGAUUCCGCCUCCCGUCCGUCGCGAGGGCACGAGCGCGUCGGGGUCACGCGGUCCACAGCGCACGGGACUCUGUUUUUUGACGCCGCGCGUGGACCCGCCGAGAGAAGGAAUCGCGGUGCUCUGCUUGGGGGCGAGUCGCUUUGCUAGGGCGCGAUACCAUCCGCCACGUCGGUGUUUUUCCUAGCUGGCCGAGUGAAGCACCGGUCCAACUCACCGCACUGUGAGAGGCCUCACUGAGCCUAGGGCAGCUAAGGUGCCUCAGUUUAACCUUGCAAACCAUCUAAAUUAAGUUCUAAAGUUUGUACACACGUUUGGUUUUUAUCAAGCCUGUAUGUAGCUCUGUUGAUCAAAAUAUGCACUUUAUAAUGUUAACUUCCAUCUUGAUGUUAUGAGAGGUCUGUUGAAGCAAAUUCUGCCUUCUGCUUCUCACAUUAAACUAGUAUAUCUUUUGGUUGGUAGUUAUUCUUGAGAAUUAUUUAUGUAGCUUGGAUUACCAACCAUUUGAUGCCCUAUGUUCAUUUGAUGGUAACCUCUGUUUGCUUAGGCAGCUAGUAUUAAUUUUCAAGCCUGAAACAACAUUGCAUUGUUUUUAGGCACUGCCUGCUA
Molecule: long non-coding RNA, 1813 nt
Organism: Oryza sativa Japonica Group (Japanese rice)
Lineage: Eukaryota; Viridiplantae; Streptophyta; Magnoliopsida; Poales; Poaceae
Source: RefSeq, a predicted model, not a curated record